CCCUGGGUGUGGUGGGAGGGGAGGGAGUGACUCAGACCUUGGCUGGCUUCCCGCUGAGUCACUGCCGAGGGGCCAUGAAAGGAGUCGAGUGGCACUCAGGCUUCACCUCCUCACACUGGUAAAUUCCUGUCUUCUGGGGGAGAUGCCUGGCGGCAGACCCGAACCACACAUCGUUGGUGGACAAGUUCGUCUGACUUUCCUAACAGCUCUGUUGUGGAACCGUGGGUGGGCUCCAUUUCCUGGUGUGGCCCCACAGCCAGCAAGAGGGAACACUCCCGGAAGUUGCCUUUCUGCCCAACCUAGCUCUGUAUCCUCCAACGUGUCCUGGAUGGACACAUUCUGUCCCUCGUCAGGCUGGCUGUGUUGCAUCUCAGGUGAACUCUUCGAGAACAGCUGUGCGCUUGCCAUGCCACUACAGAGAGCAAGAUGCAAAGGGCAGCCACACACGUUGCGCUGGGGCUCAUUCUCUUGACAUAGUCAUUCAGGAAGACAGCAAGGAAGAAAUGCUGCCAAAUCAGCGUGGAAUCUUUUUGAAGACAUUGUUAGUGGCGAUUAAACCAACACCUGUGGUGCUAACAGUGCACACAACUCAAGGGAAAGGAGACGAGACGGAAAACUGUGACCAAGUUUGUGCACGUGCGGUCAACUGCAACUAUAUCACGACUAUCUCCUGGCUGCCUGCAAUUUGACAUACUGUUGAUUACAACAUACAGCCUUAUUUCAGAGAUGUAAAAAUAUGAAAAAAACGUGUCAUAAGUUUGAUGGAAUACAAUAUUAAAAUGUAAAUGUCCUCGCUAACA
Long non-coding RNA from Globicephala melas (long-finned pilot whale), 800 nucleotides. RefSeq lists it as uncharacterized. Lineage: Eukaryota; Metazoa; Chordata; Mammalia; Artiodactyla; Delphinidae. The record is from RefSeq and is a predicted model, not a curated record.